RNAcentral lists this ribosomal RNA (533 nucleotides) under uncultured bacterium. RNAcentral describes it as "bacterial SSU rRNA". It matches the Rfam family "Bacterial small subunit ribosomal RNA", at positions 28 to 526 of the family's 1533-position model. The record is from RNAcentral.
GACGAACGCUGGCGGCGUGCUUAACACAUGCAAGUCGAACGGUCCUCGCCGAAGAAAACCUUCGGGUUAGAAACGGAGAGAGGAUAGUGGCGGAUGGGUGAGUAACGCGUGGAGAACCUGUCCCUUAGCUUGGGAUAACCUGACGAAAGUCGGACUAAACCCGAAUAAAGUGUCCAAAGAGCAUUCUUGGGACAAAAAAGAUGGGUCAAACCAUCACUAAGGGGUGGCUCCGCGUCGGAUUAGCUAGCUGGUGAGGUAAAGGCUCACCAGGGCAACGAUCCGUAGCUGGUCUGAGAGGACGAACAGCCACACUGGGACUGAGACACGGCCCAGACUCCUACGGGAGGCAGCAGUGGGGAAUAUUCCGCAAUGGACGAAAGUCUGACGGAGCAACGCCGCGUGAGUGAAGAAGGCCUUCGGGUCGUAAAGCGCUGUCCUUGGGGAAGAAUGGCCUUAACAGGAAAUGGUUAAGGAGGAGACGGUACCUGAGGAGGAAGCCCUGGCUAACUACGUGCCAGCCGCCGCCGUAACAC